RNAcentral lists this ribosomal RNA (253 nucleotides) under uncultured bacterium. Its description in RNAcentral is "partial 16S ribosomal RNA". It matches the Rfam family "Bacterial small subunit ribosomal RNA", at positions 524 to 776 of the family's 1533-position model. The record is from RNAcentral.
UACGAAGGGGGCUAGCGUUGCUCGGAAUUACUGGGCGUAAAGCGCACGUAGGCGGCUUAUUAAGUCGGGGGUGAAAUCCUGGAGCUCAACUCCAGAACUGCCUUCGAUACUGAUGAGCUCGAGUUCGGGAGAGGUGAGUGGAACUGCGAGUGUAGAGGUGAAAUUCGUAGAUAUUCGCAAGAACACCAGUGGCGAAGGCGGCUCACUGGCCCGAUACUGACGCUGAGGUGCGAAAGCGUGGGGAGCAAACAGG